CGACAGAACACAGCAGACAAAUAAAUGCAAUUUAUUUACAACACUGUUUACAGAAUAUACACAAGGAAAUGACAACAAGGCUAGGGGAAGUGACAACUGCUAGAGGGCAGAUAGGGACAGACUACACUCGAGAGAGACGACUACUGGUGGGAGGGUGAAUUACAAGAUACAAGAAUUACCAUAAACACUCAGGAAUAUAAACUAAACUACACAAUCAGACUUGCAAGAUUAACCAUUUAGAAAAGCCAACCCAAAUUUCGUAGCACCAAGCCAGGAAAGCAGAAGAGGCAAGAGAGGCUGAGGGAAUGUAUACGGAGUGUGGCAAGUGGAGUGGCAGAUGCAGCGUUGCAGCUGGAAUGACGCUGGCUGGCCUGAUGUGGGUUUCAGCAUGGUGAUCCAACAGAGCCAAGGUGAAUGGCAUGAGAAUGGUGAUCCAUGCAGCUGGCAGGUUGGUCUGGCAAGUGGAGCAGGCUGGGAUAGCCAUAAACUGAACACAGAGAAGCAAGUUUGGACCUCCACCUGCUUUCCACCACCCUCCGGAACCUCCGUCUGUCUGUUCCCAUUUGUGUCAUCUGGAUCAUCAAGACUUUCACUACUCCCUGGCUAUCUGCACCUGUCGCCAUUCCUGCCACAUGCCACCUCUGCCUGCCUUCCCCACUCUGUUUUCUGUCAGUCCUCAUUUAAGUUCCCGGCUUGACCGCUGCAUCCAGUUCAGUCAGUUUGUUUAGCGUAACUCUGGGUUUAGUCUGUUUUUGUAGCUUAGCCAUCUGUUUAGGUUUGCGUUCUCGGCGUUUACUCUGCCACCCAUUUUGUAUUUAGGAAGUAUUUUCCGAGCAUUUGAUCUCUGUCUAGUUUAGCCGUUUUGGCUUCCAGUCCUGUCUUUAGCUUCAGAGUUAUUCCUUGACUAGCUUUCCUGUCCCUAGUCAUACCUGGUGUAGGUUAGUAGAAUUCAUGUUUUUACUAGCAGUUUGGCCUUAGUAAUUCUGUUUACCCCUAGAGGUCCCCCUUGUUUACUGAAUCCUGUGCCUGAUUCUGCAUUACUGUUUCUGUGAAUCGUUGUAAAUGAGUCAUUGUAAAUAUCAACUUGCCUGUUGUAUCUUCGUUGCCUGCACUUAGGUCUCUGCUCAGCCACAUAAAGUGAAUAAAAUAUUCAUUGGCUUAGAAACAAGGAAUACCGCUUUAUUUAAUAUUGUUUCAAUGAAUACAUACAUG
Amphiprion ocellaris (clown anemonefish) is the source of this 1212-nucleotide long non-coding RNA. The record is from Ensembl. Lineage: Eukaryota; Metazoa; Chordata; Actinopteri; Pomacentridae.